AACGUUUCGAAAGGAACGCUAAUACCGCAUACGUCCUACGGGAGAAAGCAGGGGACCUUCGGGCCUUGCGCUAUCAGAUGAGCCUAGGUCGGAUUAGCUAGUUGGUGAGGUAAUGGCUCACCAAGGCGACGAUCCGUAACUGGUCUGAGAGGAUGAUCAGUCACACUGGAACUGAGACACGGUCCAGACUCCUACGGGAGGCAGCAGCC
RNAcentral lists this ribosomal RNA (209 nucleotides) under uncultured Pseudomonas sp. RNAcentral's name for it is "partial 16S ribosomal RNA". It matches the Rfam family "Bacterial small subunit ribosomal RNA", at positions 145 to 355 of the family's 1533-position model. The record is from RNAcentral. Lineage: Bacteria; Pseudomonadati; Pseudomonadota; Gammaproteobacteria; Pseudomonadales; Pseudomonadaceae.